AAAAAGAUAAGCUAAUAAAGCUUCUGGGUUCAUACCCCAUUUAUAAAGGUUUAAUUCCUUUUCUUUUUA
Molecule: transfer RNA, 69 nt
Filed under: Taeniochauliodes attenuatus
Lineage: Eukaryota; Metazoa; Arthropoda; Insecta; Megaloptera; Corydalidae
Description: tRNA-Met
Rfam family: tRNA
About the family: Transfer RNA (tRNA) molecules are approximately 80 nucleotides in length. Their secondary structure includes four short double-helical elements and three loops (D, anti-codon, and T loops).
Source: RNAcentral